UUGUUCAUCUUGUCAAGCACGUAUUUAGUCUCAAAAUCUAAAAAAUAUAAAAUCCGUGUAUUUACACUAGUAGAGUAAUUAUGUAAUCACUCUAGUGUAAUUGCACAUAAUUACUCUACUAGAGUAAAUACACUAAUUUUUUUUUUUUUUACAUUUUGCAACUAAACAUCAUGCUUAAGUAGAUGGAACUAUGGAUUAUACCUCCAACCAAGCAACGAGUGAAGGAAGAAACAUGAGCAGACAAAGAAGAUCGAGAAUUAGCAAGCCAUGGCGGUGGUGGAACAUCUCUAGUUGUGUGUCACCAUAGCUUCUCGUAGAGUCCGGGGAGCUGGAACUGUGGUCAUCCACAGGUAAUCCCACCUCCGAUUCAAUUUUCUUGAUUCCACUUCCAAACCCGAAUAAAUCUUCGGCCCGAGCCUCACUGGACGCUGUAAGAAAGCUGUAACACAGAAAAAAAAAAUCCUUAAGUUGUUUACAGAAUUAUGGAUCCAAUCGACCUUGGAGGUCAAGAGGGGAAGAAGUGGUAUUUUACCUGCACAAUGCAUGGUGACAGCAUAGCACAUGUGAGAACACCAGAAUAAGGAGACCUAAAGCUGGAUGGACAAAAUAGACUAAAACGAUAGCAAGAAGUGAUGUGGCCAAUGACGGAUUGGCGUUUAUGACCCUAGUGACCUGUCACAAAAUGAAAAUAAAUACUUUUUAGACAAUUAAAAAGGAAAAGGGAAUAUUUGUAACGCUAAAAACCAAAUAAAAAUUACCUUAAAUGAGAAAAAACUAGUGGAGAGAUCAAGUAUCCACCAUCUCCACCUGCAAAGGAUAUUCAUGAAACGAGUUGAUUUGGGUUAUGCUCUAUCUCUAACGGGUCAAACGGUCAUAUAUAAAAAAGUUGAAAAAAACAUUUCUUUUUGCUUUAAUGCAUACCACACCCUAAGUCAGCUUUAAGCAAAAAAGAGAUUAGAUUUAAGGCGUAUUAAUAUAGUGUGAAAACUUGAGAACAAAAACAUCACUUUCUACUUUAUUAAUGAUUUAACACUUGUUAAUAUAUAGAUAUAGAAAAAAGAGUAAAAUGUCAUUUUUGUCCCUGAGGUUUGGCAUUUUACUGUAGAAAAAGUAUGAGAAGCUAUUUAAUACUUAUUGCUAGUGCACACAUGGUCACACGUUUUAAGUGCAGUCUUUUUGACGACAAUAAAAAAUUUACGUGAUUGAUAGUGGUUCUUUUCUCAAGUUCUCAAAUAACUUGUGGUUCUCUCAGGAUCCUCACCCUAUAUAUAUAUAUAUAGUGAAAGUGUAAAAUACAAUAUUUCUUAACGUACGAGCGUACGCUAUGGAAAUUACGCAUGUUGAAAGGAUUCCGAGUUUGUGAAGUAGAUUCCGAGUUUAUGAUCUUUUACGCAUGUUGAAAGAUAAUUACGCAUGUUGAAUGAAGGUUCCGAGUUUGCCAAAGAGAUUCCGAGUUUAUGAAGUAGGUUCCGAGUUUGCGAAGUAGUGUUCCGACUAACGAGUUUAUGUCAACACGCGUGAUUAUGUUUUUCACAUGCGUGAUUAGGGUUUUGAGUUUCACAAUGUGCGUAAUUUCACAGCGUACGCUCGUAAGUUAAGGAAUAUUGUACGUUAACCGGCCUCUAUAUAUAAUAAUACUGUUACUUUUAAUUAACCUAACAGGGUAGGGAGAGAUUUAUGAACUUCAUAAAAGUUGUGUUUAACAAAAGGAACAACCAUUUUUAUGAUAAGAGACUGUGAUCCACCUACGCAGUUGGUCCAACAGCAAGCACCAGUAAUUGAUUGACUAGUAAUAAUAUGAUUUAGUGGUUUUAUUCUUCAGGUGAUGCUAUGCUAGGUACUAGGUAAUAUAUAAGACUUGUGUAGAUACAACGAACAGAGCCAAAAUCUCCGCACAAUUGCUUAUGCUUUUUUUUCUCUGAUAGCUUGCAAGUAUUUUCUCUUUAAAAUAGUAUUAUAAUUCUGAAACAAUAUUAUAGUUACUGAUAGUGUCUAUGGUAGACUACAUUAUAAUUUCUGAUAGCUUACUUUAAGCUCACAACUUGAUAGUGUAUAUGAAACUUGGAGCAAAACAAAGAAAUGACUCGGAACCUGCUUUGCUCGUUUUAAUAGUCGUAAAUGCUACCCAGUUAUUUCCCUUGAUCAAUUAGAUCAUCGUUUUGUAUCACGUAGUGAGUGCAUAUGUAAAACAAAAAAAAAGACACCAAUUUGAGCUCUCUCUACUUAUAAUAAUUGUAGUAAUUUAAUUUAACACCUUAGUUUUAGUAUAUAAUUGAAAGAUGGGAUAGUCAGUGUUUCCCUCAAACCAACCUUACCUGUGACUCGUACCAAAAUUAGACGUUUGACCCGCCCAAUCACCCACUUUGCCUCAUUUGUUGGGUAUUAUAUAGAAGUGAUGAUUUACAUUAAACCAAGUUAAAAGUGAGGCUGAAAGUUUCCUUGCUACUUGGAGGAAUGCAGUGUUAUUCUUUAUUUUAAACAGAGCUAAAAUACUGGCACACCUUAAUAUUUUGUUGUUGAGAUGUUUGUUAUGUGUUUGAUGACAAAAAUUAAAUCCCUAAUCAUUUUUUAAAACAUCUAUUUAUAACAUGUAUAUUAGUUCAGCCCAUGUAUCACACAGGUAACUAACCUUGUGUGUGUGUAUAUAUAGCGCGCGCGCGAGAGAGAGAGAGAGAGAGAGAGAGAGAGAGAGAGAGAGAGAGAUAAACUGACCUUGUCUUGAAGAAGACGUGUAUUCUGGCAACCAAAUGGGAGAGGAUUAGUGUGGUUAAUACUAAAACUAUUACGGUCCCGUUUGCUAUUAGAUAGCAAAUCAUUGAGACAACAAAGAAACUACCAACUGAAGGUAACGACUUUGAACUUAGAUAGGAAUAAAACAAAGCAAUCAGAACGGGUGAAAUAGCAAGUGAAAGAAACGGCAGUGGCAUUCUCAGAUUU
RNAcentral lists this long non-coding RNA (2937 nucleotides) under Helianthus annuus (common sunflower). RNAcentral describes it as "hypothetical non coding rna". The record is from RNAcentral. Lineage: Eukaryota; Viridiplantae; Streptophyta; Magnoliopsida; Asterales; Asteraceae.